RNAcentral lists this ribosomal RNA (249 nucleotides) under uncultured bacterium. Its description in RNAcentral is "partial 16S ribosomal RNA". It matches the Rfam family "Bacterial small subunit ribosomal RNA", at positions 523 to 769 of the family's 1533-position model. The record is from RNAcentral.
AGACAGAGGGUGCAAACGUUGUUCGGAAUUACUGGGCGUAAAGCGCGUGUAGGCGGCUCGGAAAGUCGGAUGUGAAAGCCCCUGGGCUACAACCCAGGAAGUGCACCCGAAACUUUCGAGCUGGAGUCCUGGAGAGGAAGGCGGAAUUCUCGGUGUAGAGGUGAAAUUCGUAGAUAUCGAGAGGAACACCGGUGGCGAAGGCGGCCUUCUGGACAGUGACUGACGCUGAGACGCGAAAGCGUGGGGAGC